GUAAGUUAUGGUGGAUGGUGCAUGUUCUGUAUGAAUUUAUCUGAUAAUCUCCUUAAUACAUUGUGAUACUUGUAACUAAUUGGAGCAUUGGAAUUAUUGACAGAUCGCAUUUCAAAAUUUAUUUAAUUUCUUACCUGAAUGGAGGAUAAAAAUCUAUCUUAGAUCAGAUUUUAAGUACAAUGAAUGGAUUUCUUUGGAAGAGUCACCUGAGUGGUUGAUUUUAAUUUUACAAAAUACAUAUGCAUUCUGGGAUUUUGUUGGAUUGCAGUAUUGAAUUUUUUUAGUCAUUCUUGUUUUGUGGUCCAUUUACUUUUUUCAGUAAAAAAAA
RNAcentral lists this unclassified non-coding RNA (328 nucleotides) under Hevea brasiliensis (rubber tree). The record is from RNAcentral. Lineage: Eukaryota; Viridiplantae; Streptophyta; Magnoliopsida; Malpighiales; Euphorbiaceae.